Molecule: ribosomal RNA, 4059 nt
Filed under: Triticum aestivum (bread wheat)
Lineage: Eukaryota; Viridiplantae; Streptophyta; Magnoliopsida; Poales; Poaceae
Description: partial small subunit ribosomal RNA
Source: RNAcentral
AGCGAUUUUGAUGCCUCUUUGGGGGCCAACGGCUGGAGAUGCUCUCACUCCACCGCACUAGCCUUUCCCCAUUCUCCUAUCCACUCCUCUCCUGGCUACUCCUCGGGCCAACAGCAGCCGUCGACGGGGAGCGCAACUCGCCUUGUGGCACGGCGGAGCAGGCGGCCGAACAGCCGAAGGAUGAGGAAGCUGGUGGAGGCGCGUUGUGACGGCAGCGGUGCGUGGUGGCUGGCCGAGGACGAUGAAGCGAGCGGAGGCGGCGACUCCCAGUCCCAAGCCAGCGCGGAUCAGCGGGGCUCCGACGCCGUGGGAGUUCGUCGUGGACGCCAACGGGGAGCCUGAGGAUAUGGCUCAGACGGAGGUGGCGCGGCGCGAGCACUCGGCAGCUGGGGCACGGCGCGGAUGCAGCUGCGUGGUUGCGCCUGGAGUGCGAGGAAGCGGGCGGGGCAGCGGCGCUGAGGCCCGCUAGACUCUGGUGGAUGUGGCCUUGGUCGCCGCCGUCCGCUGGUCUCUUCGUUCAGCGAAUCGACGCCGGAUUUGUAGGGUCCAACGGUGCGGGGUGGCUCUGUUGACCUUGCGCAAGGACGGCGCGCGUGGGGAAGACAACCACCAUGGCCAACCUAGUGGCAUCCCUGGGGCUCGGCAAUCACGAUGCGUUUCGAACUUCGCGGCCCGUGAUGAGGCGGCCGUCGGCGCCAGAGGUCGACUCCCCUGGUCAACGUCUCCUUCCUAGAAGAAGAGGAGAUUAUUCUUCAGAGAAUUAUGGCGUUUCUUUUGGUUUGUAACCAUCAUCAAUAACACAUGGGCAACUAUUCAGUAAUCUGUGUACCUUACACUACUUCCUCCUGUUUGCACUGAUGUGUGGAUUCCUCAAAUUUUGAAGCAGCCUGAAUGUUACCAUCAGAUUCUAAUUCACUUUGGCAUGUCUCAAAUUCUGUUAUAUUUUUUGCUAGCUGAUUUCUGAGUCAAGUUGUGAUAAAUUAGCUAGCUUAGCUAUGUACUGAAGUUAGUAGUUCAGUUUGGUGUGUACCCGAGGUUCUGCUUAAAAUAGUUACCAUUGUAUUAGACAUAUAUUUGACAUCUUAUUUAGCAAGAUAUUCCUCGAGAAUAGACACAGUUUCCAUCUUGUCAACUACAACUCCGACGUACGUUUUUUGCCUCCAAAAUCGCCAUGUCUCACUAUACAUUUUUUCUUAAAUUUGCCCUCUAACUAUAAAACUUUUCUUAAAUUUUCCUGGAAGAUGGCAAAUAUACUAAUCGAAUCAUUGCAAAUUUUAGUUCUCGUAUCAUGGAAAAUUCAUUGCUUUCUUGCCAUGGCAACUUUUGAUUUUUGGAUCAUGGCGCGUUUUUACUGUUUUCUACCAUGACAUUUUUUUUGGUAGACCAUGGCAACUAAUCUUAUACUUUUUGCCAUGCAAACAUCAAACAUUUAGUUAAUUGAUCAUGGCAAAUUUAGUUAACACAUCAUAACAAACACUCUUCCUGGAAGAUGGCCAAUAUAGUUAUCGUAUCAUGGCAAAUUUAGUUCUGAGAUCAUGGCUAAUUCAUUGCUUUCUUGCCAUGGCAACAUUUGAUUUUUUUAAAUUGUCGUUGUAAUUCUUUAAAUUGUCAAAAACAACAAAAAAUGACGAAUAUUGCCAUGGCAAGUUUUACUAAUUAUUUCACCUUUAUUAACAUGGCGAAUUUACCUAAAUCGCCAUGACAACUUUUUAACUUUUAUUGCCAUGGGAAAUUUACCUUUUAUUAACAUGGCAAAUUUAUCUAAAUCCCCAUGGCAAUAUCUAAGUUUUAUUGCCAUGGCAAGUUUUUACUAUUUAUUUGAUCUUUGUUAACAUGGCAAAUUUACCUAAAUCCUCAUGGCAACAUCAAACUUUUAUUGCCAUGGCAAGUUUUACUAUUUAUUUGCCAUGGCAAUAAAAGUUUUAAUCCCCAUGGCAAGUUUUACUAUUUAUGUUUGCCAUGGCAAAUUUACCUAAAUCCCCAUGACAAUAUUAAACUUUUCUUGCCAUGCCAAAUUUAUUUCAAGUACCAUGGCAAAUUUAAUUCAAAUACCAUGCAAAUUUUCUUUUUUUGGUAUCAUGGCCAAAUUUACUUCUUUAUUGCCAUGUCAACUUUACCAUGUCUCUUUUGUUUCAAUUACCAUGUCUUUUUUUCCUAUCAUGCCCAUUUUUUUUACUUUCUGAUGCCAUGUCAAAUUCCAUCGUCUUCUUUUUUCAUGGGACCAUGGCUCAUUUUCCUUUUGUGAAACAUGGCAAUUAGCACCAAAAAAUAUAUGGUACACUUUGUUUUCUGUUCUACAUAAUGGCAAUAUUCAAUCCACAUUUUUUGUUUGUCUUCCAUCUAUAUAGUAAAACGUCGUGCCAAUAAAUUCAACUUUUUUUGCCAUUGCAAUUUUCCGUUUAUUGGCAUGGCUAUUUUUAGCUAAAUCGCAUGGCCAUUUUUAACUUUUAUUGCCAUGGCAUUUGUUAAUCUUAUUUUGCCAUGACAAUUUUUACAAUUUUUUCCAUGGCUAAAUUACCCAUAUGUACAUAGAAAAUAUUUAACUAUUAUUCCCAUGGCAAUUUUUACUCUUUUAUUUGCCAUGGAACUUUCGCAUUUAUAUGCAAUGGCAAAAUUACCAAUAUUUCCAUGUCAAAUUUAAUUAAAUCGCCUUGGCAAUUUUUGACUUUUAUUGCCAUGGCAUUUUUUACUCUUUAUUUUUUCCAUGGCAAUUUAUAUUUAUUUUCCAUGGCUAAAUUUCCUAUAUCGACAUGGCAACAUGGCAAAAUACGCUUACACCUCUUUUUCUAGGGAUUUAUACAUACAAUGCAAGUUGCCAUGACUUUUUCAUGCCAUUGCAUAAAGAAAUAUCUUUAUGUCCAUGACAAAAUAUGUUUUGUUAAAGACGAAUGACAUUUUUUGGUUUGCAUCACUGGGAUUUUCUGGUCUCAAAUUUCCCCUUUUUUGUUGUAAUUUUUUCCAUGGCAUGGCAAAGUCUGGGCUCUCUUUCACAGCUUAAAAAAUGUUUUUUAGUCGCAGUACGAAGUGGGUCAUCCUGGGCUUUUCAUUUCUUUUUUUAUUAGUCACAACAGAGAGGCCUGUACGGGAGGGACGCUGGGUGUUCGGGCUGGACUCCUCUCGUCCCGAAAUGUUUUGUUCGAUCGAUACCUAGCUUCGCCCGAACAAGUCGUUCGGUCUGGGGGUCUCCCCAGCGCCAUAUUGGGGUCCUAUUUUUGACCCUCAUAAGUGACACAUGUGUGACACGAACUUAUGGCAAUUUUGAAUUUUUUUAUGGCAAAUUUAGUGAUGUGAGAGCAACUCUAAUACGUCUCCAACGUAUCUAUAAAUUUUUAAUUGCUUCAUGCUAUAUUAUCUUCUGUUUUAGAUAUUAUUGGGCUUUAUUAUCCAUUUUUAUAUUAUUUUUGAAACUAACCUAUUAACCGGAGGCCCAGCCCAGAAUUGCUGUUUUUUUGCCUAUUUCAGGGUUUCGCAGAAAAAGAAUAUCAAACGGAGUCCAAACGGAAUGAAACCUUCGGAAACGUGAUUUUCGAAACGAACAUGAUCCAGAGGACUUAGACCCUACGUCAAGAAAUCAAGCAGUAGGCCACGACGUAGGGGGGCGCGCCCUCCACCCUCGUGGGCCCCACGUUGCUCCAUCGACGUACUCAUUCCUCCUAUAUAUACCUACGUAUCCCCAAACGAUCAGGAGUCAAAAACCUAAUUCCACCGCCGCAACCUUCUGUACCCACAAGAUCCCAUCUUGGGGCCUGUUCCGGAGCUCCGCCGGAGGGGGCAUCCAUCAUGGAGGGCUUCUACAUCAACACCAUAGCCUCUCCGAUGAAGUGUGAGUAGUUUACCUUAGACCUUCGGGUCCAUAGUUAUUACCUAGAUGGCUUCUUCUCUCUUUUUGGAUCUCAAUACAAUGUUCUCCCCCUCUUUCGUGGAGAUCUAUUCGAUGUACUUUUCUUUUGCGGUGUGUUUGUUGAAACCGAUGAAUCGUGGGUGGGUUUAUGAUCAAGUUUAUCUAUGAACAAUAUUUGAAUCUUCUGAAUUAUUUUAUGUAAGAUUGGUUAUCUUUGC